This 253-nucleotide ribosomal RNA is filed under the name uncultured bacterium. RNAcentral describes it as "partial 16S ribosomal RNA". It matches the Rfam family "Bacterial small subunit ribosomal RNA", at positions 524 to 776 of the family's 1533-position model. The record is from RNAcentral.
UACGAAGGGUGCAAACGUUGCUCGGAAUUAUUGGGCGUAAAGCGCACGUAGGCGGCUUGGCAAGUCGGAUGUGAAAUCCCCAGGCUUAACCUGGGAACUGCAUCCGAUACUGGAUGGCUUGAAUUCGGGAGAGGGAUGCAGAAUUCCAGGUGUAGCGGUGAAAUGCGUAGAUAUCUGGAGGAAUACCGGUGGCGAAGGCGGCAUCCUGGACCGACAUUGACGCUGAUGAGCGAAAGCUAGGGGAGCAAACGGG